GGCAGGUUUGCGUGUCUCCCUCUCUCUGCCCCACUGUUUCCCUUAGAUCCAAAAUGGCUGGCGAUGUUCCCUGAACACACACCCACCUCCAUUUCCUCCCCCCCCAUUUUCUUCUCUCUCUCUCGUCCUCCCCCCUCUCUCUUUUCAAGGAUCUUGGUGUUAAUGCUGUAGGUCUUUAGCUUGAAUGCAAAGGCUGUUUUCUGUCAGUUCGGCACACCAGCCUGUGAGAUGCCAUCUCGCUCACAUUCUUCCCAACGCUAGACAGAACUGAGGAAUCUGAAAGGCAUUAUUGGUGCUCCGGCAGCCUGACGCGCCCUGUGCACUUGACUCGCUCGAUUUGCAUAUGCAAUGCAGCCAUACUUAAUGAGUGGGCACCACUGAACUUCAGGGGCCCGCAGAGAGGAUGAAUCUGAAUGGCGCUGUGUGGAAAGAUCAGCACCGAAGUGUCUGUAGUCCUUCCCGGUCAGGACAUGGAUGCUGCUUGUGAAUUUAAAACCAAAGACAAUCAAGAUCUUGGAGAGAAAGAGAAGUGGCCGGGUGAGGAAGUUGCCUCUCAGCAAGGACAAAAGGGAAAUGAGGGAAAUUUUACAAGAAAAUUUUCAUUUUAGUUAAAAAGCCAUUUUCCACCAAAACAUUUUUCAGUGAAAAAAUUUGAACUGACUAAAAUACCCUGACCUCAGUCCUGAGGAACAGCCUAAAGCUGGAAACGGGGGAAGAAAUGGAGUAAGACAAGAAAUGAGGGUGAAAAAAUCAGAAGAGGACAGAGAAUUGGAGAGGAAAAGAAGCCGAAAAAAGGAAGCAAAACUAGAAGAUAGUCAAGAAGAGGGAGAAUUAGGCCAGGACGGGAAGAGGGAAAGCAAUCCAUGCAACAUAAAGAGCAGAAUGAAAUAAAACACAAGGAAGAGAGCA
RNAcentral lists this long non-coding RNA (909 nucleotides) under Chrysemys picta bellii (western painted turtle). RNAcentral's name for it is "lncRNA (ENSCPBG00000027956.1)". The record is from RNAcentral. Lineage: Eukaryota; Metazoa; Chordata; Testudines; Emydidae.